GAUGAACGCUGGCGGCGUGCCUAAUACAUGCAAGUCGAGCGAACGGACGAGAAACUUGCUUCUCUGAUGUUAGCGGCGGACGGGUGAGUAACACGUGGAUAACCUACCUAUAAGACUGGGAUAACUUCGGGAAACCGGAGCUAAUACCGGAUAAUAUUUUGAACCGCAUGGUUCAAAAGUGAAAGACGGUCUUGCUGUCACUUAUAGAUGGAUCCGCGCUGCAUUAGCUAGUUGGUAAGGUAACGGCUUACCAAGGCAACGAUGCAUAGCCGACCUGAGAGGGUGAUCGCCCACACUGGAACUGAGACACGGUCCAGACUCCUACGGGAGGCAGCAGUAGGGAAUCUUCCGCAAUGGGCGAAAGCCUGACGGAGCAACGCCGCGUGAGUGAUGAAGGUCUUCGGAUCGUAAAACUCUGUUAUUAGGGAAGAACAUAUGUGUAAGUAACUGUGCACAUCUUGACGGUACCUAAUCAGAAAGCCACGGCUAACUACGUG
RNAcentral lists this ribosomal RNA (497 nucleotides) under uncultured bacterium. Its description in RNAcentral is "partial 16S ribosomal RNA". It matches the Rfam family "Bacterial small subunit ribosomal RNA", at positions 28 to 507 of the family's 1533-position model. The record is from RNAcentral.